GGGAAAACACGAAAAUCCAAAGAACACAGGUUUUCAAACCCUAAACCAUGAUUUGACUCGAUCUAUGAUCUCGUGAGGAAUUAGACGAAUUCCUUCGGUGGAAAGGCUCAACGCUCACGUCAUAGAUCAAGUCAAGGCAACAAAAACAGAUCAAAAUGGUCUCAAAACGAAGAAUCGAGCCUCCAAAGAAAAGGGGCACAAAGGAAUUCACAAAGAACACGAAGAGCACGAUUCACAAACUGAAUCCCGAAGGACACAAGGUGGUUAGGACCACCCAUCCCGCUGC
Molecule: long non-coding RNA, 286 nt
Filed under: Sorghum bicolor (sorghum)
Lineage: Eukaryota; Viridiplantae; Streptophyta; Magnoliopsida; Poales; Poaceae
Description: long non-coding RNA (SBIC_LNC008613)
Source: RNAcentral